Molecule: ribosomal RNA, 832 nt
Filed under: uncultured Pelagibacterales bacterium
Lineage: Bacteria; Pseudomonadati; Pseudomonadota; Alphaproteobacteria; Candidatus Pelagibacterales
Description: bacterial SSU rRNA
Rfam family: Bacterial small subunit ribosomal RNA
Source: RNAcentral
UCUGAUGCAGCGAUGCCGCGUGAGUGAAGAAGGCCCUUGGGUUGUAAAGCUCUUUCGUCGGGGAAGAAAAUGACUGUACCCGAAUAAGAAGGUCCGGCUAACUUCGUGCCAGCAGCCGCGGUAAUACGAAGGGACCUAGCGUAGUUCGGAAUUACUGGGCUUAAAGAGUUCGUAGGUGGUUGAAAAAGUUAGUGGUGAAAUCCCAGAGCUUAACUCUGGAACUGCCAUUAAAACUUUUCAGCUAGAGUAUGAUAGAGGAAAGCAGAAUUUCUAGUGUAGAGGUGAAAUUCGUAGAUAUUAGAAAGAAUACCAAUUGCGAAGGCAGCUUUCUGGAUCAUUACUGACACUGAGGAACGAAAGCAUGGGUAGCGAAGAGGAUUAGAUACCCUCGUAGUCCAUGCCGUAAACGAUGUGUGUUAGACGUUGGAAAUUUAUUUUCAGUGUCGCAGGGAAACCGAUAAACACACCGCCUGGGGAGUACGACCGCAAGGUUAAAACUCAAAUGAAUUGACGGGGACCCGCACAAGUAGUGGAGCAUGUGGUUUAAUUCGAAGCAACGCGCAGAACCUUACCAACCCUUGACAUACUCGUCGUCGCUCCAGAGAUGGAGCUUUCAGUUCGGCUGGACGAGAUACAGGUGCUGCAUGGCUGUCGUCAGCUCGUGUCGUGAGAUGUUCGGUUAAGUCCGGCAACGAGCGCAACCCACAUCCCUAGUUGCCAGCAGUUCGGCUGGGCACUCUAUGGAAACUGCCCGUGAUAAGCGGGAGGAAGGUGGGGAUGACGUCAAGUCCUCAUGGCCCUUACGUGUUGGGCUACACACGUGCUACAAUGG